UACGUAGGUGGCAAGCGUUGUCCGGAUUUACUGGGCGUAAAGAGCGCGCAGGCGGUCGUUUAAGUCGAAUGUGAAAGCCCCCGGCUCAACUGGGGAGGGUCAUUCGAUACUGAUCGACUCGAAGGCAGGAGAGAGAAGUGGAAUUCCCGGUGUAGUGGUGAAAUGCGUAGAUAUCGGGAGGAACACCAGUGGCGAAGGCGACUACCUGGCCUGUUCUUGACGCUGAGGCGCGAAAGCGAGGGGAGCAAACGGG
This 253-nucleotide ribosomal RNA is filed under the name uncultured bacterium. RNAcentral's name for it is "partial 16S ribosomal RNA". It matches the Rfam family "Bacterial small subunit ribosomal RNA", at positions 524 to 776 of the family's 1533-position model. The record is from RNAcentral.